Molecule: non-coding RNA, 94 nt
Filed under: Bacillus sp. (in: firmicutes)
Lineage: Bacteria; Bacillati; Bacillota; Bacilli; Caryophanales; Bacillaceae
Also listed under: 1 other name
Description: Bacillus sp. c-di-GMP sequence
Rfam family: c-di-GMP-I riboswitch aptamer
About the family: GEMM was predicted in a large-scale screen for bacterial structured RNA regulatory elements.
Source: RNAcentral
AACAGUAAAAGGCAAAUCUAUUGAAAGAUAGUGACGCAAAGUUACAGGUCUAAAAUUAGAGGAGUUCUCUGAUUAUGACGGCUGGGCUGCCUGA